This 408-nucleotide RNase P RNA is filed under the name Hyphomicrobiales bacterium. Its description in RNAcentral is "Rhizobiales bacterium RNase P RNA component class A". It matches the Rfam family "Bacterial RNase P class A". From Rfam's summary of the family: Ribonuclease P (RNase P) is a ubiquitous endoribonuclease, found in archaea, bacteria and eukarya as well as chloroplasts and mitochondria. Its best characterised activity is the generation of mature 5'-ends of tRNAs by cleaving the 5'-leader elements of precursor-tRNAs. Cellular RNase Ps are ribonucleoproteins. Lineage: Bacteria; Pseudomonadati; Pseudomonadota; Alphaproteobacteria; Hyphomicrobiales. The record is from RNAcentral.
CCAGUCGGCUGGGCGACCGCUGCCGGUUUGUGGGACUUUGCGGUCCAGCACGCCGGUGGAGGAAAGUCCGGGCUCCAAGGAUCGACGGUGACGGCUAACGGCCGCCGGGGGUGACCCCAGGGAAAGUGCCACAGAAAACAGACCGCCCGCGUCCGCGCGGGUAAGGGUGAAAAGGUGCGGUAAGAGCGCACCGCGCUCCCGGCAACGGCGAGCGGCAUGGCAAACCCCACCGGGAGCAAGACCGAAUAGGGGCGGCAUGGAUGCGGCGGGCAACCGCGGCAUCCGGGCAGAUCCUGGCUGCCGCCCGGGUUGGUUGCUCGAGGCGCGGAGUAAUCCGCGUCCCAGAUGAAUGGUCGCCGCGGAGGUCGCACCUCCAGACAGAACCCGGCUUACAGGCCGACUGGCAAU